CUGGGAUUCUUCAUGUCAGAGGUGGCCUUGAAUCAGCCAAAAAAUAGUUCUAUAGCUCCUCCCCGUUGGUAAGAGCGAGAUGUUUAUUUUGCCAUCGCGGCCCCUGAGGCUUCCAUGCGUGGCCCCUGGGCCACCUGCGCCUGAAUCACUCAGGAUCUUGUUUCUAGAAUGUUUCCUGGCCCCAUAGACUGGGCACUCAGGAGGCUCUGGGGACAGCCCUGAGCACCUGCAUUCCAGACAGGUCUCCAGCACCGCCCGCGGCCUGCCUGGGCCUUCAGGCCCCUGUCCCCACAGCCAGAGCAGCCUGGCCAGUGGGUGUCCAGAUGUGCUGCCAGGGAACCAGCCACUCAGUGGCCCCUGAGAACUUGUCACAGAUGCAAAUUCUCUGCAGAGAACUGGGGUCUCUGGGCCGGGCCAGGCUGGGGCCCAAGGUGAAGCCGAGUUUGCGGCCGGAUCAUGGCUCCUUGGCCCUUCCACGGGACUGUCCCCCCG
Molecule: long non-coding RNA, 492 nt
Filed under: Marmota monax (woodchuck)
Lineage: Eukaryota; Metazoa; Chordata; Mammalia; Rodentia; Sciuridae
Source: RNAcentral